AUUCUGGUUGAUCCUGCCAGUAGUUAUAUGCUUGUCUCAAAGAAUAAGCCAUGCAUGUCUAAGUACACACGAAUUAACAGUGAAACCGCAAAAGGCUCAUUAUAUCAGUUAUGGUUCCUUAGAUCGUUAACAGUUACUUGGAUAACUGUGGUAAUUCUAGAGCUAAUACAUGCAAUUAAAACACGGACCUUUUGGAACGUGUGCUUUUAUUAGGCUAAAAACCAAGCGAUCGCAAGAUCGUUUUAUUGGUUGAACUCUAGAUAACAUGCAGAUCGUAUGGUCUUGUACCGACGACAGAUCUUUCAAAUGUCUGCCCUAUCAACUUUUGAUGGUAGUAUCUAGGACUACCAUGGCUGCAACGGGUAACGGGGAAUCAGGGUUCGAUUCCGGAGAGGGAGCCUGAGAAACGGCUACCACAUCUAAGGAAGGCAGCAGGCGCGUAAAUUACCCACUCCCAGCUCGGGGAGGUAGUGACGAAAAAUAACAAUACAGGACUCAUAUCCGAGGCCCUGUAAUUGGAAUGAGUACACUUUAAAUCCUUUAACAAGGACCUAUUGGAGGGCAAGUCUGGUGCCAGCAGCCGCGGUAAUUCCAGCUCCAAUAGCGUAUAUUAAAGUUGUUGCGGUUAAAAACGUUCGUAGUUGAACUUGUGCUUCAUACGGGGUAGUACAACUUACAAUUGUAGUUAGAACUAUACCUUUAUGUAUGUAAGCGUAUUACCGGUGGGAGUUCUUAUAUUUAAUUAAAUACUUGUAUUUUUUUAUAUAUUCCUCCUAUUUAAAAACCUGCAUUACUGCUCUUCAU
This 804-nucleotide non-coding RNA is filed under the name Drosophila virilis. Its description in RNAcentral is "Eukaryotic small subunit ribosomal RNA". It matches the Rfam family "Eukaryotic small subunit ribosomal RNA", at positions 1 to 800 of the family's 1831-position model. The record is from Rfam by way of RNAcentral. Lineage: Eukaryota; Metazoa; Arthropoda; Insecta; Diptera; Drosophilidae.